AGCGAACGCUGGCGGCAGGCCUAAUACAUGCAAGUCGAACGAACCUUUCGGGGCUAGUGGCGGACGGGUGAGUAACACGAGGGAACGUUCCCUUAGGUUCGGAAUAACUCAGGGCAACUUGUGCUAAUACCGAAUGUGACCCUCGGGGGCAAGAUUUAUCGCCUCUAGAGCGGACCGCGUCCGAUUAGCUAGUUGGUUGAGGUAAUGGCCUACCACGGCGACGAUCAGUAGCUGGUCUGAGAGGAUGAUCAGCCACAUUGGGACUGAGACACAGCCCGAACUCCUACGGGAGGCAGCAGUGGGGGAUCUUGCGCAAUGGGCGAAAGGCUGACGCAGCCAUGCCGCGUGAAUGAUGUAGGUCUUAGGAUUGUAAAAUUCUUUCACCGGGGACGAUAAUGACGGUACCCGAAGAAAAAGCCCCGGCUAACUUCGUG
This 434-nucleotide ribosomal RNA is filed under the name uncultured bacterium. RNAcentral describes it as "partial 16S ribosomal RNA". It matches the Rfam family "Bacterial small subunit ribosomal RNA", at positions 29 to 507 of the family's 1533-position model. The record is from RNAcentral.